UUCCGGUUGAUCCUGCCGGACCCGACUGCUAUCAGAGUGGGACUAAGCCAUGCGAGUCAACAUAGCAAUAUGUGGCAUACGGCUCAGUAACACGUAGUCAACAUGCCCAGGGGACGUGGAUAACCUCGGGAAACUGAGGAUAAACCACGAUAGGUCAUCACUUCUGGAAUGGGUAAUGACUUAAAUCUAUAUGGCCCCUGGAUUGGACUGCGGCCGAUCAGGCUGUUGGUGAGGUAAUGGCCCACCAAACCUGUAACCGGUACGGGCUCUGAGAGGAGGAGCCCGGAGAUGGGCACUGAGACAAGGGCCCAGGCCCUAUGGGGCGCAGCAGGCGCGAAACCUCUGCAAUAGGCGAAAGCUUGACAGGGUUACUCUGAGUGAUUUCCGUUAAGGAGAUCUUUUGGCACCUCUAAAAAUGGUGCAGAAUAAGGGGUGGGCAAGUCUGGUGUCAGCCGCCGCGGUAAUACCAGCACCCCGAGUGGUCGGGACGUUUAUUGGGCCUAAAGCAUCCGUAGCCGGUUCUACAAGUCUUCCGUUAAAUCCACCUGCUUAACAGAUGGGCUGCGGAAGAUACUAUAGAGCUAGGAGGCGGGAGAGGCAAGCGGUACUCGAUGGGUAGGGGUAAAAUCCGUUGAUCCAUUGAAGACCACCAGUGGCGAAGGCGGCUUGCCAGAACGCGCUCGACGGUGAGGGAUGAAAGCUGGGGGAGCAAACCGGAUUAGAUACCCGGGUAGUCCCAGCUGUAAACGAUGCAGACUCGGUGAUGAGUUGGCUUAUUGCUAACUCAGUGCCGCAGGGAAGCCGUUAAGUUUGCCGCCUGGGGAGUACGGUCGCAAGACUGAAACUUAAAGGAAUUGGCGGGGGAGCA
RNAcentral lists this ribosomal RNA (868 nucleotides) under uncultured archaeon. RNAcentral describes it as "bacterial SSU rRNA". It matches the Rfam family "Archaeal small subunit ribosomal RNA", at positions 1 to 878 of the family's 1478-position model. The record is from RNAcentral.